Molecule: transfer RNA, 73 nt
Filed under: Ailuropoda melanoleuca (giant panda)
Lineage: Eukaryota; Metazoa; Chordata; Mammalia; Carnivora; Ursidae
Rfam family: tRNA
About the family: Transfer RNA (tRNA) molecules are approximately 80 nucleotides in length. Their secondary structure includes four short double-helical elements and three loops (D, anti-codon, and T loops).
Source: Rfam by way of RNAcentral
GCCUGGCUGGCUCAGUCGGAAAAGCAUGUGACUCUUGAUCUCGGGAUCACGGGUUUGAGCCCCAUGUUGGGUG